GAAGGUGUCUUUUAAAUUAUAGUGCAUAUAGUUAUAACUAACAGCUGUGAAUUCAGAGCUGUAAAAAUAAAGCAAAGAAACCACAUUGUGUUUGAGUCAGCAAUCUUUAGGUCUCUACUAAGUUAUCCUAAAUAUAAUCCUAUGUUAGUCCCUAAACAUACUUAGUCCCUAUAUUCUAAAUAUAAUCCUACUUCCUAAAGAAAAUCAUGCUUUCCCCUAAUUCUCUGUUAUCUAGAUGUUGCUUUGGUUAAAGGAAGAACACAAAUAUCCUGCCAAAAGGUAUUCUGUUCAGUGCAAAAGAAACAGUCCCACAUCCUGCUCUCUCCCACAACACACUAUGCAUUCAGGCUUAUUAUAUUUUACAUGUCCUAUGCUUACAAUUCAUUCAGAUGGAGUCUCACUCUGUCACCCAGCCUGGAGUGCAGUGGCGCGAUCUCGGCUCACUGCAAGCUCCGCCUGCCAGGUUCACACCAUUCUCUGCCUCAGCCUCCCGAGUAGCUGGGACUACCGGCGCCCUCCACCACGCCCGGCUAAUUUUUUGUAUUUUUAGUAGAGACGGGGUUUCACCGUGUUAGCCAGGAUGGUCUCGAUCUCCUGACCUCGUGAUCCGCCCGCCUCGGCCUCCCAAAGUGCUGGCAUUACAGGCGUUAGCCACCACGCCUGGCCGCAUGCUUGUUUUUAAAAUAUUUUAGUUUUUAUUUCUAAAAUAGUAAAUAUCAAAAGACACAACCGACUUAAAUAAAAGCUCUUUGGAAUUUGCAAUAAUUUUUCUUUAUUUUAAUUAUUUAUUUAUCAUUAUGAAGAGAGUUUGAGAUCCAGUCAUUUGAUAGAAAACCAGAGCUUCCUGUGUCAAUAAGGACUGACCUCAAAAAUGUAAUGUGACCAGACAAAAGAAAGUUGCAAAAUAUGUAGAGUGUAAAACAAUUUAUAUACAAUUUUAGGACAUGAAAACAAAUUCUACAUAUUAUUUAUGACCAUACACAUAUGUAAUAAAAUGUUUUAAAAGGGAAUGGACAUAAUAAAUUCUUAAUUCAGGGUGUUGGUUACCUCUAGGCAAUAAUAUUUAAUCAUAUAAAACGAACCCCAGGCCAAAAAGUUUCAGAAUCAAUGUUUUAAAAGACUGUGUCCACCAUGUAGUUAUUAAGGGUAAUUAAUUGCUUUCUUCGUUUUUGAUAAUCAAAACACACACACAUGAUUUGCUGACCAGAAUAUCUGACUGGCUUAAAAUCAUCAGUAUAGCCACACUAUGAUGAAAUAAUUAAACUUAAAGCACAACUAACAUAUUGGCAAGUAAAGUUUGUCUUAUCUGAUAAGUUUUGGUGCUGCACGUUCACCUUAUAUUCUUUCCACCUUUCUAAUACCCCACUCUUCUUUUGAAGUAUUAUCUCAUUUUACCACCCUCCAUCAUAUCCACUUGCUUCUUUUCCCUUCAUUUACUCUCUGUACUCUCUGCCUUCCACAUUCUUUAUUCCCCCUUUUACUCUUAUCCUCUUCCUUCUAUCCUGACAUUGCAUAUCUAGGGUUCAGUAGUAUCCACUGUUCCAGGCAUUCACUGGGGGUCUUGGAACAUAACCCCCAUGGAUAAGGGGGGAAAACUGUACAUUUUAUUGUGUAGGUCUAUGGGUGCUGUGCUGUGUUCUGUGGCAAAACAUAGGGAAGAGACCAGGGAUAAGGAUCUUUGCAAAGACUUUUCAGCUGCCAGUGGAGAAGAGCUCAAGGGAGAUCAAUGUACUCACUCUCACUAAUCCUCUUCUGGGGCAGAUGCUGGCAAUGUUUACUGAGUUCUAGCUAUUUUCCCUAGCACAAACAAGGCUCAAAUUCACCUCCCAUUUUACCUCCUAUGGACAGAACCACUGGAAAGAUCACUCCCUUAAAGAGCUUAUUCACUCUGAGCCACACCAUUCAUUCAGUGAGAAGCUUAAGAAGAAACACUGCCACAGUGGUGGCAGGUUGCCAGGGAGUACUACCUGGUAUGAAAAAUAUAUAUAAACAGAACUAUCAGCUCACUCAAGCUGCCAGAAUGUGCCAACAGUUGUUACUCUCUCUGGUGAAAACAACAUUAUUUUUCAUUUAUUGUAAAGAAAAACACUGGCAUUUCCUAUGACAGAGCAUUUAGUUGUAGAUGAGCCAUAUUCUAAUAAUAUAGACUGUUUUCAAGCUCAUCCCUAAAAGGAAGAGAACCAGAGAGGAACAUAUUUAUUCACCUGUAGUGUUCACUGCCUGAUCUUCUUUUUAAGUGCAAGGUAAGUAUGCAAGACUUUGUGAUUCCAGUUUUAUAAAGUCCAGCUCUUGAGAUUAUCCCGUCCCAUCGCUAGACUCUAUCUGGACCCAUCUCCUAGAGCACGAUGGUCCAGUUAGUGCUGUGGAAUACUGCAUGAUGCCAUUUUUCCCCACCCUCCCCGUUACGUGGCAAACAUCUACAGAAAUCACGCUUUCUCAGCACGUCAAAUCAUACGCCAUCAGAUCCUGUUCUGAUGAACACAACAUGAGGAAAACAAACACAAGGACAAAGAACAUCUAAAAUGACAGAAUCAAAUUACCAUGGAACUUUAUUGUUUAAAUAUUCAAAAAGAUAUCCACCACUGUUUUAUUCCAACUAUAUGACUAGUCUGGAAAAAGCAAAACUACUGAGACACCAAAAAGACCAAUGGUUGCCAGAAACCAGUGGAGAGGAAGAGACGAAACAGUGGAGGACAGAGGAUAUUUAGGGCAGUGAAACUAUUUUGUCUGUGAUACUACAAGGGUAUAUACAUGCCAUCACACAUUUGUCCAACACCAUAGAAUGUACAAAACCAAGAGUGAACCCUAACGUAGACUGUGGACCUUGGGGGUGAUGUGUCUGUCAAGGUAGAUUCCUCAACUGUAACUCUGAUGAACUCUGAUGGGGGGUACUGAUAAUGAGGGAGGCUAUUCAUAUGUCAGGGGUCAUGGGGAAUAUGGAAAAUCUCUGUACCUUCUCAAUUUUGCUGUGAAUCUAGAACUGCUCAGAAAAUAAUAUUAUUAAUUCUAAAGCACAUACUCACUGAACUUGCUAUUACCCUAAAUUAUAAAAAGACAGAGUCACCUUGAAAAUUGCAAAUCACUAAAGAUCAAGGUAACAGAAUACGAGUACUAUCUCCGAAAUUGAAGCAUAUAAAAACACAUAAAGCAAUUAAUUUUAAUUGUAUACUUAGGCAAAAAAAAAUUCACAAAAAUGAUUGAAUAUCUGAUCUUAUUUCAUAAUUGUAAACAGGGAUUUAGUACAAUAUGAAUCAAAACUGGUCCAUCCAUGAAAAUAAAAUGAAAGACAAUUUUUAUUCUAAUUUUAAAUCAGAACUUAUUAUGCCUACUUUAUCCCACAAUUUUACUGAAAGGUUAAUCAGAUAAGAAGGACAGAUUAUAAUUACUUAAUAUUGCCAUAGUAACUUAUGUACCAAUACCUGUUAAGUAUUCACCAAAUGUCAAAACUGUAAGCAGCCUUGCUAUUUAAUAUGAAUGAUGCAGCUGAAACCAGUACCAUGUUAUGGUCUAUCAUAUUAUUUGCUAUUGUAUUAUAUAAAAUGUUAAGAUAACACCAAAAAUUUACUCAGGGGCAUAGCUGCUGGGCAGCAAAGAUUUCAUAUAGCAGGCAUGAGACACCCAUCCUUAGAAAGGCUUGCUUGCAAGGCUAGUCCUUGGCUGGUGUUUGGGACCUUGAAUUUGGGAGGGUUCCCAGCAUUCCCUAACUUAGAAGAAGGGAGUGGCUCACUGUGCCUAAAGUGUUUGUGCAAAUGUGGUUUACUAUGAACAAUUAAUUUCCUCCUGGGAGUCUAGAGUUUUGUUACAUGUGAGGGAGAGGAGAGGUGGCCUAUGUGACUAGCCUCCAUCGAAAACAUGGGUGCUGAGCCUCUAAUGAAACUCUGGUAAGGUAGACAACAUUGCACAUGUGUCGUCAAAAUUUGAGGCUGGGGGAAUUAAGCAUAUCCUGCUAGCUACACAGGAGAUGACUCCUGUAGCUUGUGCCUGGCUUCCUCCAGACUUUGACACAUGCACCUUUUCCUUUCUCAAAUGUUGCUUUGUGUCUUUUUGCUGUAUUAAAUGUAAUAAAUCAAAGCCCCAAGUAUGACUAUCUGCUGAGUCCUGUGAGUCCUUCUCAGUGAAUUACCAAACCUCAGUGAAGGGGGUCUUGGGAACCCCUGAUACAAUUGCAUUAAACAAUUUUUUAUUGUUUAAGUUGAUGUGUUACAUGUGACUACAAUCAGAAGGUAAUUUCACAGAAUACCUUUCCCUAAUCUGCUUAUUUUUUAUUUUUUGACAUUUGCCUUGGAGAUUCCUGUACUUCUAUAUCCACUGGACUAAAGGCAUUAAAAAUGCAUGAAACAAUGAUGUCAGAAAGUAAUUUUUAAAAGCAACAAUCCUAUUUUAACUCAAUUAAAAAUAGAAAAUCUUAAUGACUGACAAUAUAUUCUACAGUAUAAAAGUUUCUGGAACAAAAAAUUAUAAGAUCACAGUCAAUUUUCUCCCACUAGGUAGGAUUUAAUUCAUUUUUAUAAUAAUUGUGCAGCAGGCCAGGUGCAGUAGCACACAUCUGUUGUUCCACCUACUCAGGAGGCUGAGGCAGAACGAUUGCUUGAGGCUAGGAACUAAAGCUGCAGUGUGCUAUAAUCACACCCGUUCAAAAAAAAAGUCCA
Molecule: long non-coding RNA, 4649 nt
Organism: Homo sapiens (human)
Lineage: Eukaryota; Metazoa; Chordata; Mammalia; Primates; Hominidae
Exons: 3
Source: RefSeq, a predicted model, not a curated record